This 5182-nucleotide long non-coding RNA is filed under the name Sus scrofa (pig). RNAcentral's name for it is "lncRNA (ENSSSCG00000055071.1)". Lineage: Eukaryota; Metazoa; Chordata; Mammalia; Artiodactyla; Suidae. The record is from RNAcentral.
AUAGUGGUAAGUAAAAAUAAAUAAUUUGUGUAUGUGUAUAUGUGUAUUUUUGUGUAUACAUAUAGAUAUAUCAUAAAGUGAAAAAUUAGAAGCAAAUAUCAAAAAUGUGAACAUGAUUAUUUCUGCUACGUGUUUGUUUUCUUGUUAAAACUUUAUUUUUUCAAUUCUGGGAAUAACUCUUUAUACAUGUAUAUAGACACACACACACACAUAUAUACAUGGGGAGAAGAAAAGGAACAGAUAAUGAGAAUAAUGAGAAUGCAAGGAAUUAUUUUCCAGUCCCCAGAACUGACUCUAUCAUUUUUUUCUAAAUUAACAACACUAUUUAUUUUAAACUUUGCCCUUUUACCCACAAAUAUGGAGCUAGGUGUGUGGAGAAGAGCCUAAUUCACUCUUACACACAGUUAGAACACUUGCUAAGACAUCUUUUUGUGUCCAUCACAGAUCAGCCUAAUUUCCUUUCAUGAGAUGAAAAGCAUUGCUCCUCCCAGAAAAUCUCUCAAAAGAUAAAUCAGCAUUUACUGCAAAGUCAUUUUCUGCAGCAGCACUAAGAAUGAGAUGUGUGUUAGCACACCUGUUCACUCACCCCAGCAAGUUCUGGAACUGCAGCAGACAGAACUGAGAUUGACACAAGAGUUUGAAUUACAUUCCAUACUCAUUGGAGAAUAUAAGUCAAGUACAGCGCUGCAAGAAGAAAGGAUACAAAAGACUAUCAAUCUUUCCAUUCCACGGAAGAAUCAGAAUACCCAUCAAGGAAUAAAUGACUUUGGUUCAUAACACCUAAAAUGUAAAACAACAAACAAUCAUUUCCAUUUAAUAAUUUGAGCUAUAUAGAUGUCCACAUUCAUAUUCUGACUCUUGGAGAUAGAGCCAUAUCCAAAGGGUUAUUUGUUGUUACAUUAUUUAUACUUUUCUUGAAAUAAAUCUCAGAGGUAUCUAUAUAAUCCAAAAUCAACAUCAUAAACUUUAGUUCUCUUACAGCCUCUGCACAUAGCUUGACAGUUCUUUAACUUCUAAAUUUGCAGAACCAGCACUUCAAAAUGAUAGGAAUAUAGAGCCACCAGUGACACUCUCUGACAAGCCCAUCCUUCACCCAAAGCACAGCCAAGGGAAGUAUCAUUGUGACCCAAAGCUUAUGCAUGCCAGUCUAGACAUACAUCAGAAACAAAUGUCUUUCUCACACACUAGUUUUAAAAGAACAAGUAGCCAUUUAAAAUCAAAGAAAAGCAAGAAACGAAGCAACCAUCCAACUAAGCUCAGUAAAAAACUAUUUGCAGACAAAAUUUUUAGUUUUAGGCUUGCAUUUUCUUUAGCCUGAGUUUUACAGAUGACCAUUUCAUUCACUCAUCUAUUGUAAUGAGAGUACUAGAUUAAAAUCUAAUUAAGAAAGGAUCCACAAAUAAAUAAAUCAACACACCAAUGAGAGAUAAUAUAAUGAAAUAUGGAAAUGUAUAAAAUACAAGUGGUGUGAAUCAGUUUAGAAAAGAAAUGUUAUUCACACAAUAGGGAGUAUACAAUUGGAUAAUUAUGUGAAAAAAAUGAUUUUUUGUGUUAUAAAAUAAUUAAAAAGGAAUUCUAGAUGGAUUAAAAAUCUAAUUAUAAAAUAUAAAGUAUUCAAAGCAAAUGUAGACAGUUACUCUUGUAACUCUGACAUAAAGGAGGCCUAAGCAUGAAACAAAACAUUGAUAAAAUAUUGAUAGGUUUUACCACACAGAAAUAUACAGUAUUCUCUAGGACAAAAUCCCCUUUGAAAAUAAACCAGACUACUCUUGUUUAACUAUAAGUUAGAAAUAUUUUUUCUAGCAAAUGACAUUUGAUGUGGCUCAAAAAUAUACAAACAUCUAUUAAUAUUUGUUUUUAAAAUACAUACAUGAAAAAUUAUAGAGAUAAGAAAAUUACAGUUGAAAAUAUGAUGGUUUUAAAAAGUUACAAAACACACCAAUAGAUACUAAUUCAUUAUGGGCUAUGUGCACUGCACUGGCCUAAGCUCUCCAUUACUUGAAUGUCUGCUUCUGCAUAUUUUAAAUGAUCCCCAAUCUCUGUUGUGGCUUAAAAGAACUCACACUUAAGAGAGGUCCAAGAUGACACAUAGCUAAAACACUAUGUCUAUAUCCUUAAAAAGAGCUCAGUUUUGGCUAAGAUAGUAACACUGUUUUGGAACAUAUUUCAUGUACAUUUAGAUCUAUUCUGAGUUCUUCUAAAACUAAUAUCCUCUGGGGAAAAUGUGAGUGUGUUUAUCAUUUGUUUUGAGAAAAAUCAUUGUAGUAUUUCCAACUACAUAUGAGGCAGAGUAAGAAAAAUUACUAUGAUAGAUGACUUUAGUUUUCAGUGCAUAUUUCAAUUGUCUGCAAAUAACUGGACAGUCCAAAGAUACUAAAACUACCACAAAAGUCCUCUGUGUUUUGCUUUUCUAAAUGUGUUUUCAUUAGGAAAUAAUAUACAUCAUACAAAAAUAGGGAUAAUAAAAGGAAAUGACAUGAUUCCACCACAUAAACCAAUUUCAUUUAUUCUCCUACAGUAUUUUUCUCUUAUUUAUCUGCUUAGAUUUAAGAAUUCCAAUAUCCACUUUACAAUCUUGUUUAUAGUUACCUUUAUGAGAAAAGGAUUUUCUGAGUAGCACUAGCCCCGUUAGAGUGGGCACCAAUUCUAAAUAAGGAAAAGUCCAAGAUAGUAAGGUGUUAGAGUAUCAGAGAGAAAAUCUUUGGCCCGCCAUAGUGUAACACUUUUGUGUAGAAAAUGCCUUGUAAGAUAUGCUGAACAUAUGGCAUAGAGGUUAAAAUAGUCAACAAAAAAUGUAAUUAAGGUUUCCUGUUACAUGGCUCCCUCCGUGUUCUGCAUGUUAGAGCUAUCUUGACUGGUUUUUAAAGAAACAUUUUUUUUUUUAUCAGAUAGCAUUAUAGAUUAAUCACUUAUGUAGGGCCAAUCCAAAAACCAAUUUUUUAUAUUUUGAGUUCAAUUUCUUUUUCCUGUUUGCCUAGUUUGGGUGCUACGACAUGUGAAGAAAAUGAACCUUUUAAAAAUGUGUAUAGGCAGGAAAAUCCAAGAUACUAAACUACGAAGCUUCUGAAACUUUUUGGGCACUUAAGCAGAAUUUAGUCAUCUGUGUGUGAGAUCUGCAUAUAACCAGUAGUGACAUUUUACAAAAGCAACAUGGUCCAAAUGUUAUAAAAACUGAUUGCAAGGCUGUGUUAGUAAAAUAUUCAACUUGGUGUGAGUGAAAUAACAUGUUUUUUUCCCCACAUAAAAAGACAGUUAUACUUCUUCCAAUACAUGAGGAACUGUAUGCAAUUUCUGACUUUAAAUAGAAAAAUGUAUAUUAUAAGAUUUCUAUUCUCUUUUACCUUAUCAACAUGAUUUCACAUGCACAUACACAUGGGAAUUGGGGACGCUGAAUUAAUUUGUAUCAGUAUUUCCUAGAAAUUUGACUCCCACCCAUAUUUCCUUUAUUAAUUUCCUAGUGUCAUCAACAAAUCAGCUGAAUUUUUUGUUUUUAUAUUAAGAAUAAACAAUUUUAAAAUAUAGCUAAUAUUUUAUAAUAACCAUAAAUGGAGUAUACCUUUAAAAUUGUGAAUCACAACGUUGUACAAACGUUUAUAAUAUUUUACAUCAACUAUCCUUCAAUUUAAAACAAGAGCAAUUCAUUCUGAAACUCUCUGUCAUACCUUAGACAUCAACCCUGACUGAUUUGAAAACUCAAUCAACUGAAAACCCAAAGACUGAAUUAGAACACCAAGCCACCCAUAAGUAUGCAAAUGCAAAGAUGUCUUACUGACAUCUUCUCAUAAUUCCCUAUUCAUAAUCUCUGGGAACCUGGUAUCGGAGGGUACAGAGAAGCCAUGGCAAAAGCUGUACCCGCACCUCUCAUGGCGUUGCUGGGAAAAACAUAUCAGUACAUUGUGGCCAUGGCCUCAAGGAGUCAGUAGCCCUGGUUGCACUACUGACCAGCUGUAAGUCUGUCUUGGACUAGUUCUUUCACUUUCUGGGCUGUGAGUCUAUGAAAAAGUGCUAAUGCUACACACAUUCAAGAACUGUUCAAGAAAAGGAAAAAAAAAUAUUAAUGGUAUCAAAAGCUUUGAAAAAUGAAAAGUCUAUGGUUUCUAAUGCUUUGGGGAUAAGCUCUUUCUCAAGUAAUAGAUGGAGCGUGGGCAGCUCUUAAAAGGAAAUGGUUUACUAGUAUUUUCUGGGGUGAGGGUGGGGACGGGUUGAUUGUCUUUUCUGAUUCCAAGAAAGUGAAAAAAAUCUUUCCGGAAGUUAUUUCCAUAGCUCUUCUUUAUCUUGACUCUGGAGCUUUUCUCCCUUUCCUUUCCUUUCCUUCUCUUUUAAAAAAACCACUUUUACUUCAACUUUUUUCUCUAAUUCUUCCUAAUAAAAACAUUAGUUAAACCCCUAAUCUUUUCUCAAGACUGAGUUUGGAUGCCUGAUACCACCCGUGCUCCACCUUUUCCUACAUGAUGAGGGGCUGAUGCUCUAAUUCUGACCCAUCUGGAAUAGCAAAGGAAGUGUUAGUGUGGGAUGGAGAGAUUGAACCUAUGAUGAUCCCUACCUUAAGCACUGUUUGGAUAUUUUCCUGAUAUUUCCAUGUUAUUCUAUUGACAAGCAAGCUGUGUGAAAGUGGUUAUUUUUUCAGAGCUUGAAGAAUCAUUAGUGACAGAAGUGGAAACUAUCCAAUUUUCUUUUCCUUUUUUCUUUUUGAGCCACCAGGCAGCAUAUGGAGUUCUGAGCCAGUGAUCGAAUCUGAGCCGGAGCUGUGAUCUAUACCACAGCAGGCAGCAACACAGGAUCCUUAAGCCACUGUGCCAGGCCGGGGAUCAAACCCAUGUCCCUGCUGCUGCAGGGAUAUAGUCAAUCCCAUUGCACCACAGUGGGAACUCUUAUCCAAUUUUCUGUUCUUCUUUCACUGAGAUUCUGUGGGCAGUAGUGUUUCUCAGAAUGUACCUCAGAAAAUAUACAGGUAGUUUGUUCACAUUCAAUAUCAUCAAUUAGCUUCUAUUUCAGAAUGGAUUUUCCUGCCUUGCAAAAAAGUCAAUGCUCAUUUACUUUGAUCUCUUUAUAGUUGUCCUUCCUCCUUCGCUAGAAAGUCUUUCCUUGUUGUUAAGUAUCUGCCAACUUGGAAAGCUAAAGGACUCAAAACUGGCAGAGAUACAUUAUUGUCAUCCCCAUGUUUCAUUUUUCCAUAACCCAG